AGAGUUUGAUCCUGGCUCAGAUUGAACGCUGGCGGUAGGCUUAACACAUGCAAGUCGUGCGAGAAAGUAUCUUCGGAUAUGAGUAGAGCGGCGGACGGGUGAGUAACGCGUAGGAAUCUACCUAGUAGAAGGGGAUAGCCCGGGGAAACCCGGAUUAAUACCGUAUACCUCCUUCGGGAGAAAGAAGGCCUCUCUUUGAAGCUUUCGCUAUUAGAUGGGCCUGCGUAAGAUUAGUUUGUUGGUGAGGUAAAGGCUCACCAAGGCUUCGAUCUUUAGCUGGUCUGAGAGGACGAUCAGCCACAUUGGGACUGAGACACGGCCCAGACUCCUACGGGAGGCAGCAGUGGGGAAUAUUGGACAAUGGGCGCAAGCCUGAUCCAGCCAUACCGCGUGUGUGAAGAAGGCCUUCGGGUUGUAAAGCACUUUAAGCAGGGAGAAAAAGUUAUAAGUUAAUACCUUAUAACCGUGAUGUUACCUGCAGAAUAAGCACCGGCUAAUUCCGUGCCAGCAGCCGCGGUAAUACGGAAGGUGCAAGCGUUAAUCGGAAUUACUGGGCGUAAAGCGCGCGUAGGUGGUUUGUUAAGUUGGAUGUGAAAGCCCUGGGCUCAACCUAGGAACUGCAUCCAAAACUAACUCACUAGAGUACGAUAGAGGGAGGUAGAAUUCAUAGUGUAGCGGUGGAAUGCGUAGAU
Molecule: ribosomal RNA, 692 nt
Filed under: uncultured bacterium
Lineage: Bacteria
Description: bacterial SSU rRNA
Rfam family: Bacterial small subunit ribosomal RNA
Source: RNAcentral